RNAcentral lists this ribosomal RNA (396 nucleotides) under uncultured bacterium. Its description in RNAcentral is "partial 16S ribosomal RNA". It matches the Rfam family "Bacterial small subunit ribosomal RNA", at positions 523 to 918 of the family's 1533-position model. The record is from RNAcentral.
AUACGUAGGGAGCGAGCGUUGUCCGGAAUUACUGGGUGUAAAGGGAGCGUAGGCGGGAGUGCAAGUCAGAUGUGAAAUACAUGGGCUCAACCCAUGGGCUGCAUUUGAAACUGCAUUUCUUGAGUGAAGUAGAGGUAAGCGGAAUUCCUGGUGUAGCGGUGAAAUGCGUAGAUAUCAGGAGGAACACCGGUGGCGAAGGCGGCUUACUGGGCUUUUACUGACGCUGAGGCUCGAAAGCGUGGGGAGCAAACAGGAUUAGAUACCCUGGUAGUCCACGCUGUAAACGAUGAUUACUAGGUGUGGGGGGACUGACCCCUUCCGUGCCGCAGUUAACACAAUAAGUAAUCCACCUGGGGAGUACGACCGCAAGGUUGAAACUCAAAGGAAUUGACGGGG